GUGUGAGGCUUUACCAUGUAUAUAAUAGGCCAAUGGCUAUGCUGUGCACGCGAAACAUGUCCUGCCCCUUUAAAUCACGAAGGGAGUUACCAUGGAAACUGAAGGAGCACGAGGACAGCUAGCUCCGUCUCCCGCGGUUUCUUCGCUGUUUUCAAGAGUGACAAAAACCCUCUAUAAUAGAAGAGAAGCUCAAGAUUUCAACAUUUUCUGAAGGGAGUUGCAGACAGGUGUAGAAAACUGCUUUUCAAAUUUUCCACAUUUAUCACAGUUAUUUUAAGAUGUUGACAUCUAAACAUUUGUCCAUGCUAAUGGCCAAGCAGUAGGGUUGGAACAGACCUGUCAGAAAACAUCUCUGAACCAUAUGACUAAUUUCAAAACAAUUUAUUCUUGAGAGGAGGCACCACAGUUAAAGACAGUGUUUUGAAGAAUUUUGAACUUCCUGCUCACAAACUACAUACUUCUCCAGUUAGUCUGACAGGCUAUCAAUGAGAAGGCGGCAUUACAGGACACCACUGAAAACUAUACCACUAAAAACUGAUUAUGGUAAGUCUUUUUGA
Paramisgurnus dabryanus is the source of this 557-nucleotide non-coding RNA. The record is from RefSeq and is a predicted model, not a curated record. Lineage: Eukaryota; Metazoa; Chordata; Actinopteri; Cypriniformes; Cobitidae.